RNAcentral lists this ribosomal RNA (484 nucleotides) under uncultured bacterium. RNAcentral's name for it is "partial 16S ribosomal RNA". It matches the Rfam family "Bacterial small subunit ribosomal RNA", at positions 30 to 507 of the family's 1533-position model. The record is from RNAcentral.
AUUGAACGCUGGCGGCAGGCCUAACACAUGCAAGUCGAGCGGAUGAAGGGAGCUUGCUCCUGGAUUCAGCGGCGGACGGGUGAGUAAUGCCUAGGAAUCUGCCUGGUAGUGGGGGAUAACGUCCGGAAACGGGCGCUAAUACCGCAUACGUCCUGAGGGAGAAAGUGGGGGAUCUUCGGACCUCACGCUAUCAGAUGAGCCUAGGUCGGAUUAGCUAGUUGGUGGGGUAAAGGCCUACCAAGGCGACGAUCCGUAACUGGUCUGAGAGGAUGAUCAGUCACACUGGAACUGAGACACGGUCCAGACUCCUACGGGAGGCAGCAGUGGGGAAUAUUGGACAAUGGGCGAAAGCCUGAUCCAGCCAUGCCGCGUGUGUGAAGAAGGUCUUCGGAUUGUAAAGCACUUUAAGUUGGGAGGAAGGGCAGAAAGUUAAUACCUUGCUGUUUUGACGCUACCAACAGAAUAAGCACCGGCUAACUUCGUG